RNAcentral lists this unclassified non-coding RNA (517 nucleotides) under uncultured Glomus. RNAcentral's name for it is "SSU rRNA". It matches the Rfam family "Eukaryotic small subunit ribosomal RNA", at positions 569 to 1093 of the family's 1831-position model. Lineage: Eukaryota; Fungi; Glomeromycota; Glomeromycetes; Glomerales; Glomeraceae. The record is from RNAcentral.
AGCAGCCGCGGUAAUUCCAGCUCCAAUAGCGUAUAUUAAAGUUGUUGCAGUUAAAAGCUCGUAGUUGAAUUUCGGGAUCAAUAUGUCGGUCGUGCCUUGGUACGUACUGGUAUCAUUGGUCUCUCCUUUCUGACGAACCAUGAUGUCAUUAAUUUGGUGUUAUGGGAAGUUAGGACUGUUACUUUGAAAAAUUGAGUGUUUAAAGCAGGCUUUAGCUUGAAUACAUUAGCAUGGAAUAAUGAAAUAGGACGUUCGAACCUAUUUUGUUGGUUUCUAGGAUCAACGUAAUGAUUAAUAGGGAUAGUUGGGGGCAUUAGUAUUCAAUUGUCAGAGGUGAAAUUCUUGGAUUUAUUGAAGACUAACUACUGCGAAAGCAUUUGCCAAGGAUGUUUUCAUUAAUCAAGAACGAAAGUUAGGGAUCGAAGACGAUCAGAUACCGUCGUAGUCUUAACCAUAAACUAUGCCGACUAGGGAUCGGAUGAUGUUAAUUUUUAAUGACUCAUUCGGCGCCUUAACC